GUGGAGGCUCUGAUAUAUACUCAAAAUUUGUUGCGGUCUUCCUUAAUUACAAUUAUGGAAUCGACAAAUCUCAUUAAAAAAUUUAAAGAAUUAAAAGUUGGUAAUUAAAUUUAAACUUUGAUUUUCAUUUUUAGCUUAUACAAUGAAUGCCUUAACUAUAUUCUUAUGUUCUGCUUUUAGCAUUUAUUGCAAAGGGAAUCCAAUUAG
RNAcentral lists this long non-coding RNA (207 nucleotides) under Elaeis guineensis (African oil palm). Its description in RNAcentral is "long non-coding RNA (EGUI_LNC020365)". The record is from RNAcentral. Lineage: Eukaryota; Viridiplantae; Streptophyta; Magnoliopsida; Arecales; Arecaceae.